Molecule: small nuclear RNA, 167 nt
Organism: Nannospalax galili (Upper Galilee mountains blind mole rat)
Lineage: Eukaryota; Metazoa; Chordata; Mammalia; Rodentia; Spalacidae
Gene: U1
Rfam family: U1 spliceosomal RNA
About the family: U1 is a small nuclear RNA (snRNA) component of the spliceosome (involved in pre-mRNA splicing). Its 5' end forms complementary base pairs with the 5' splice junction, thus defining the 5' donor site of an intron.
Source: Ensembl
AUACUUACCUGGCAGGGGAUAUACCAUGAUCAUGAAGGCGGUUUUCCCAGGGUGAGACUUAUCCAUUGCAGUCAGGAUGUGCUGACCCCUGAGAUGUCCCCCAAUGCAGGAAACUCAACCGCCUAAUUUGUGGCAGUAGGAGGAGUGUGUUUGAGCACAUGCCCUUA